UACGUAGGUGGCAAGCGUUAUCCGGAAUUAUUGGGCGUAAAGAGUGAGCAGGCGGCUGAAUAAGUCUGAAGUCAAAUCGUGGGGCUCAACCCCAUUUCGCUUUGGAAACUGUUUGGCUAGAGUACGGCAGAAGUGAAGGGAACUCCAUGUGUAGCGGUGAAAUGCGUAGAUAUAUGGAAGAACACCAGUGGCGAAGGCGCUUCACUAGGCCGAAACUGACGCUCAGUCACGAAAGCGUGGGUAGCAAAUAGG
RNAcentral lists this ribosomal RNA (252 nucleotides) under uncultured bacterium. Its description in RNAcentral is "partial 16S ribosomal RNA". It matches the Rfam family "Bacterial small subunit ribosomal RNA", at positions 524 to 776 of the family's 1533-position model. The record is from RNAcentral.